This 766-nucleotide long non-coding RNA is filed under the name Brassica napus (rape). RNAcentral's name for it is "long non-coding RNA (BNAP_LNC006074)". The record is from RNAcentral. Lineage: Eukaryota; Viridiplantae; Streptophyta; Magnoliopsida; Brassicales; Brassicaceae.
GUUUUAGGGUUUAGAUUUGAAGGUUUAAGGUUUACGUUUAGGGUUUAGAGUUGAUGUUUUAGGAUUUAGAUUUGAAGGUUUAGGGUUCGAAUUUCAGAAAAAUAUAGGGUUUAGGGUUUACAUUUAGGGUUUACAUUUAGGGUUUAGAGUUGAUGUUUUAGGGAUUAGAUUUGAAGGUUUAGAGUUUAGGGUUUAGGGUUUAGAGUUGAUGUUUCAUGGUUUAGGGUUUAGAGUUGAUGUUUCAUGGGUUUAGAGUUGAUGUUUUAAGUUUUAGAUUUAGGGUUUAGGGUUUAUGUUUAGGGUUUAGAGUUGAUGUUUUAGGGUUUAGAUUUGAAGGUUUAGGGUUUAGAGUUUAGAGUUGAUGUUUCGGGGUUUAGGGUUUGUAAUUGAUGUUUCAUGGUUUAGGGUUUAGAGUUGAUGAUUUAGGGUUUAGAGUUGAUGUUUUAAGUUUAGAUUAGUUAACCGUAUGUUUUUUUUUUGUCAAAAUUAAUCAAAAUGUUAUAAAUGUUUUUUACCUUUCAUUAAAAAUAAGGGUAAAAUUGGUUAGUGUAAACAUGAAAAGUGGUACUUUGAAAAUUGUAUUUUUGGCAAUUUUACAAGAUUUUAGUUGAAACUUAAGAAUAUUGACUAUUCAUCACUUUCUGUUAAUUUUAAUAAUAAAUAAACAACAAAGAGCGAGGGUUGAUUGGUUAUUCUGUAGUUUUUGUUUAUGUUUUUACUUUAGAAAAUAAGCUGUGAAUUGUUUUGCUUCGGCUUUAAUUGUUUU